RNAcentral lists this ribosomal RNA (253 nucleotides) under uncultured bacterium. Its description in RNAcentral is "partial 16S ribosomal RNA". It matches the Rfam family "Bacterial small subunit ribosomal RNA", at positions 524 to 776 of the family's 1533-position model. The record is from RNAcentral.
UACGUAGGGUGCAAGCGUUGUCCGGAAUUAUUGGGCGUAAAGAGCUCGUAGGCGGCUUGUCGCGUCGGCUGUGAAAACCUGGGGCUCAACCCCGGGCCUGCAGCCGAUACGGGCAAGCUAGAAUUCGGUAGGGGAGACUGGAAUUCCUGGUGUAGCGGUGAAAUGCGCAGAUAUCAGGAGGAACACCGGUGGCGAAGGCGGGUCUCUGGACAGUUCCUGACACUGAGGCACGAAGGCCAGGGGAGCAAACGGG